This 121-nucleotide ribosomal RNA is filed under the name uncultured bacterium. RNAcentral describes it as "partial 16S ribosomal RNA". It matches the Rfam family "Bacterial small subunit ribosomal RNA", at positions 628 to 748 of the family's 1533-position model. The record is from RNAcentral.
UGAAACUGGUGGUCUUGAGGGCAGGAGAGGAAAGCAGAAUUCCUGGUGUAGCGGUGAAAUGCGUAGAAAUCAGGAGGAAUACCAGUGGCGAAGGCGGCUUUCUGGACUGCCCCUGACGCUG